RNAcentral lists this ribosomal RNA (468 nucleotides) under uncultured bacterium. RNAcentral's name for it is "partial 16S ribosomal RNA". It matches the Rfam family "Bacterial small subunit ribosomal RNA", at positions 28 to 507 of the family's 1533-position model. The record is from RNAcentral.
GACGAACGCUGGCGGCGUGCUUAACACAUGCAAGUCGAACGGAAAGGCCCUGCUUUUGUGGGGUGCUCGAGUGGCGAACGGGUGAGUAACACGUGAGUAACCUGCCCUUGACUUUGGGAUAACUUCAGGAAACUGGGGCUAAUACCGGAUAGGAGCUCCUGCUGCAUGGUGGGGGUUGGAAAGUUUCGGCGGUUGGGGAUGGACUCGCGGCUUAUCAGCUUGUUGGUGGGGUAGUGGCUUACCAAGGCUUUGACGGGUAGCCGGCCUGAGAGGGUGACCGGCGACAUGGGGACUGAGAUACGGGCCAGACGCCGACGGGAGGCAGCAGUGGGGAAUAGGGCACAAUGGGCGGAAGCCUGAUGCAGCAAAGCCGCGUGCGGGAGGACGGACUUCGGGUUGUAAACCGAGUUGGCCUGGGACGAAGCGUGAGUGACGGUAAUGGGUAAAGAAGCACGGGCUAACUACGUG